This 389-nucleotide long non-coding RNA is filed under the name Linum usitatissimum (flax). RNAcentral describes it as "long non-coding RNA (LUSI_LNC004966)". Lineage: Eukaryota; Viridiplantae; Streptophyta; Magnoliopsida; Malpighiales; Linaceae. The record is from RNAcentral.
UUUUUUCCACUAGUUCAAUAAGGAGUUCAUCAAGAUGUGCAACCACCAGCUUACUCAACUCUGUUUCGACACUCGGAUUACAGUACGUAAAUAUCCAAUUGUGCCUACACCUUCUAUUAUAGCUGUGUUAUAGUAGCAUUUUGACUUAUGAUUACUGCAGUUCGCAUGUCGGUUAGAGGUGUAACAGAAUAAGGUUUUCUCUUUAAACAAUUCUACUGUCACAGGACUUCUAGCUAAGUUCCUUGACGACAAAUACCUACGGGACGCUAAGCGGGACACCUUAAAACUCCUAAGUGCUCCAUAACAGUACAAACGUAUGGUAUGUUGAUGUUUUGACUAAGUUAUGCUGAUUUUAUGAAACAGACUAAGUAGUUGUUUCUAUUUUCCUG